This 76-nucleotide transfer RNA is filed under the name subsurface metagenome. RNAcentral's name for it is "tRNA-Met". It matches the Rfam family "tRNA". From Rfam's summary of the family: Transfer RNA (tRNA) molecules are approximately 80 nucleotides in length. The record is from RNAcentral.
UGGCGGCGUAGCUCAGUAUGGUAGAGCAAGCGGCUCAUAUCCGCUGGGUCAGGGGUUCAAGUCCCUUCGCCGCUAU